This 3274-nucleotide long non-coding RNA is filed under the name Panax ginseng (ginseng). RNAcentral's name for it is "long non-coding RNA (PGIN_LNC002971)". Lineage: Eukaryota; Viridiplantae; Streptophyta; Magnoliopsida; Apiales; Araliaceae. The record is from RNAcentral.
AUCCAACACAUUCGAAGCAGUAGUCUGCACCACCGUCAGUCAUCUCUUUUAUCACCUUCAAAAUAUGUAAAGAACAAAUUUUCUUGUUUGUCAAUUGUAAUCAGCUAUAUGUCCUUAAUCUUAUUUUACUCUCAAUAGUGCAGAAAGAAAAUAAUAAAUGGAAAACAAAACAGAAAGCUGAAUACAAUCCACAAAUUGACAAACAUGUGAAAUUUUCCUUACAAAACAAAACUUUUUUUUGUGUGAUUCUUUUAACAGCUUCCCUGGACAUAUUACUGAAUGAAUUUUACACCUUUCAAAAAGAUGUAUUCACUACAAAGAAAUCGGUUAUUUCCUACGGAAUUUAUUCGGCGGAAAAUAAGUUAAUUCCAACAGAAAAAUUCAUCGGAAAUAACUCCGUCAGAAUUAAAAGUGCAAUUUAAACUACUUAGGAGCAAAGAAGUAGCGGAGCGGAUUAAAAGAAAAAGAAAACUUCGAGAGCUCACCAUUCUCUCACAACCCUCUCCCUCUCCUCUCACUCACACCCCUCUUCCUCCACAGCCCUCUCCUCCCUAUUAUUUCACUCUAUACCUAAUUUUGAAAACUUGUGGCUAUAUCGAUGGCCAACAAAGUAGCAAAAUCAGAAACCCUAGCCCCCAAUUUCAAAUAAACCAAAAUUUUUGUAGAAGCAACCAUCAAAUCGAAGGCUUUAGGAGGAAUAGAGUCAUCUUGCAACAACAACAAAGAACGCGAGAAAUCGCUGAAAGAGUUGAUGGCGAAAGGAUCCAAAGCCGACAAAGAACGCAAUUAUGCUUAAGGCACCGGCUGCUACAAUCGUGCCCUAGAAAUCAAGUUUAUUAGUCUUAUAAAUUAAUGAUAAUCCAUUAAUUUCUCUAUCUCAUAAAUUUAUUGAUAACCUGUUUUCUUAUAUAUAUUAUUGUUGUUUGAUGUAUGUCAACUGGGUUGAAUAUUUUGCUUUUUAAUUCUCGAUAUCAACUUCGAAGGAAGCAAGUUUUAAUUUGGGUGUUUAUAUAUUAAUUGAUUGGAUUGAGCAUGUCUUCCACUUAUUCUCGUCAAAAAUAGCGCAAUUUGCAGAGAAAUCAAAUUUCAUGGUAAUUUCAAUUGUAUAAAUUAAUGUGUAUUCUUUUUUAAUUCUGCCAUUUUUACUUAUUUGUAUUUAUCUCUCUCUUCGGUUCUAGGUUAGUGUUUAGGAGAAAGUCAAAAGUUUAUAUGCAGAGGGACUGAGACGGGGACUGAGGUAGAUAGCAAUGAUGAUAAGGUCUUCAUGCUUGUUUAUGUUAUUGGGUGUGUGAAUAUAUAUAUACAUUGUCACAUAUAUUUGCAGUGUGAUUGAAAUUGGAACUUUAUGAUAAACAUGACUAGGAAAAAGAUGAGCAUGAAGAGGGGGAAAUGCCAACAACCAAUUCAACUGGUUCAGAGAUUGAUUCUCUGCCUAUAGUUGUUGAUCAAGUAAAUUACUUGUCUGCUCAUGUAUAAAAAUUUAAGGUUUAUUUGAUAGUGUGUGGUUAAGUAGAAGUAAUAAUUCGUUGAUUUGUAGAUUGUUUAAUUUGGGUGUUCAUACAUUAAUUUGUGACGUUAAUUUGGGUGUUCAUACAUUAAUUUAUUGUUUAAUUUCGUUCUCAUGCAGUUUUAAUGUGUGUUCCACUUUUCAUGAAUGUUAGUUUUAAUUGUCAAACUUAAUACAGUUAACUCAUUUGCAUCAAUGUCGUGAUGGCGUAAGUGGAAGGUGUGUCGCAGGGGCAAUCGGCAAUUACACCAGCCAGCUGCUCAGCAUAAGGUGUGAGGCUAAAUGCUUUCUCAUUGUAGGCAACAAAGCGAUAGGAGAUACAUGUUACAUUAGAUAUUACACUUUAUCUUUAUGAAUCUUUAUUUGCACCUUUUGAAUUUAAUACUUUAUCAUCAAUUGAAGGAUUAUUUCGCAGUAACUUGUAGGCUGGUCAAACUGUCCUUAAUUUAUCAAGUUAUGUCCCCCUCUUUCUCUCUCUGAUUCUAUAGGAUUAUUACUACUUCUAGCGAUACGCUUAACAAUUUCAAUUACAUAAUUUAACUUCAUCCUUCUAAAAUUUGUAGGAAUUGUUCUCAACUUCGUCAAUGAGGUGAGCUCCUUUGACACUUUAUCUGCUUGAUUUAUUGUUUCUAUGCUUCAUUUGGUGUGUUUUUGGUUGAUACAUCAUACUACGUGAAUAUGCUAAGUGAUUAAUGAGAAAGGAAAAUGAAAAUUUGAAUUUUCAUAAUAGGUUCUUAAAUUCUGUAUUUCUGAUUCAAUUCCUUGGAAUGAAAUUGAGUCUCUAGUAUUUUGCCAAGAGAAUUUGAGAUUUAAAGGAAAAGGAGGUUAAGUUAUUCUUCAAGUAGAUAUUCUUCUUUACAAAAUCCAAAUGUUUGUCUUAGUGAAACCAAAUUGUCAGUGUUAUAUUCAUUAGCUUGCCUAGCUAUCAGAGUUCAUGAUUCUUGUGAUUUACAACUACUUGGUCUAUAAAAAAUGAAAAGCUAAUGUCAACCCCUAUGGCGAUUUUCUUCUUUACUUGUAACUAAUUAAAAAAAAAGGCUAAGUUAAGUUGAGCCUCAGCUACUAUAGCUUCCUUACAAAUGCAACAAAUGCAGACAAUAAACAAGUCUAACGGGUUGUUUGAUUAGCCCUGAAUGGCUGAAUCGGUUAGUCAUUUAAACAAUUUGGGCUAAAUGAUUUAAUGUCAUUUUUUUGGCUGAAUGGGUUUUUGAAUGAAGUUUUUUUUUUACAAUAUUAACUAUUAUAUUAAAUAUAUUUACAACAAUUUUGAAUUUUUUCAGAAAUAAAAUAAUAGAAAUUAGAUGUUUUAAAUAUGUCAAUUAUCAAACAACUUUUUUCAUUCAGUAUUCAGUUUCAUUCACCUCAUUCAGAUUCAGAGCCAUUUCAUUCAGUUUUUAUCAAACAGUCCCUAAGCUCUUAAUUUUUAGUUUCUUCUCUUCUACUGUUUUCUAUAGUUAAAUACAUAUAGUAGAUAUAUAUUAUGUUCCUAUCUAUACUUCCUCCCAAUUUCUCAUGUUCCUUAUCUGUGCAGCAAAACAUACCAUUGAAUUCUCAAACAGCAGAUUUUUUUUUUUUGCAAAAGUUCAACCUACAUACAUUCACCAAGGGUGGGCGGAUAUUGGUCAAGGAGUACUUAAAAUUUGUUAUUAAUUAUUUUCUGUAAAGUGAUAAAACCAUCCUCUCAAUUUCAGCUUGUUGCUGUCUUUCAGAUUUAGCUUAUUGAUUCAAUACAGAAGGACUAACUCUCAUUAUUAUAAUUUGUAUAAU